RNAcentral lists this transfer RNA (72 nucleotides) under Danionella translucida. It matches the Rfam family "tRNA". Rfam says of the family: Transfer RNA (tRNA) molecules are approximately 80 nucleotides in length. Their secondary structure includes four short double-helical elements and three loops (D, anti-codon, and T loops). RNAcentral also lists the same sequence under 1 other name. Lineage: Eukaryota; Metazoa; Chordata; Actinopteri; Cypriniformes; Danionidae. The record is from Rfam by way of RNAcentral.
UCCCUGAUGGUCUAGUGGUCAGAAUUCGGCGCUCUCACCGCUGCGGGCUGGGUUCGAUUCCCGGUCAGGGAA